GAGACGCGGACGGUAGUUCCAUAGGCGAACGGGCGGGUGUUAUGGUCGUGUAUUAUAGAGAUGCUCGUGGUCCGACCCCCGUGACCUGAACGUGACCGCCAGAAAUCUAACGGUUUUAGUCUCCAGGAUCACUCUAGGGGCAUCGCGGUCGGUUGUCUUGGGGUUCAGUCAUCUACUAAAUCGCGUGAACACCGACGUGCGGGCCAAUCAGGCCACUUCACCAGCAAUGAAAAAAAAAAAGAGUGUUACAUUGAAAGUAUAUAACCACCAGUCCCGCAUAUGUACUAUUUACUACCAUAGUUAGACUGUUGAAAGAUGGAAGUCACUGAAAAGGUUAGCCAGAACAGAAUUGUAGGCCGGUCCUACGUUAGCUCAGACAGGGAGGUCCCAUGGACCUCCUGAAUUUGCAUAAUUUUAUAUAUAUAUUUAGACGAUCAUCGCAGAUGAUGAUCAACAUUGGUAAAAUUAAUCAUUCGAAUACUUUCCGUGCAAAAAAUCGAGAAAUCCAGCCCUGAAUUCGAUUGUUGCAAUUUUGCCGUGUUUGCACACUCUCAGAAACGAAACGGAUAAAUUUCCGCUUACGUCCAAUCUUACCCUUACUAAGCGUAAAGUUCGACAAAAUCGCAGGCGCCGUAUCCGUCAAGCUCUGUUUUAUUCCUAGUACCCGUAAACGCGCUCGCUGUAAGCGUAAAGGGCGGAGUUUUAUGCGUAAAUGGGACGGAGGAUAUGAUUUACUCAUAUCCUGACGCAUACGAUUUCGUCUUGACGGAUAAACUGAGGCUCUGCGUUAAGUAUUAGCUCUUUACGCCUAUAUUGACGCAUAUUGUUUUUCAAUUGUUAUACGGGCCCUGCCUUCUGAGAACACGUGCAUGGUUCCGUGUGCAAAGCGUCUUUCAUUUCGCCUGGUUAACGGUCACUCUCGCUUCUGACGUCUCAUAUUAUCCAUUUACGCUUAUAUUGACGCUUAUUGUUUUUCAAUUGUUAUACGGGCCCUGCCUUCUGAGAACACGUGCAUGGGUCCGUGUGCAAAGCGUCUUUCCUUUCGCCUGGUUAACGGUCGCUCUCGCUUCUGGCGUCUCAUAUUAUCCAUUUACGCUUAUAUUGACGCUUAUUGUUUUUCAAUUGUUAUACGGGCCCUGCCUUCUGAGAACACGUGCAUGGGUCCGUGUGCAAAGCGUCUUUCCUUUCGCCUGGUUAACGGUCGCUCUCGCUUCUGGCGUCUCAUAUUAUCCAUUUACGCUUAUAUUGACGCUUAUUGUUUUUCAAUUGUUAUACGGGCCCUGCCUUCUGAGAACACGUGCAUGGGUCCGUGUGCAAAGCGUCUUUCCUUUCGCCUGGUUAACGGUCGCUCUCGCUUCUGGCGUCUCAUAUUAUCCAUUUACGCUUAUAUUGACGCUUAUUGUUUUUCAAUUGUUAUACGGGCCCUGCCUUCUGAGAACACGUGCAUGGGUCCGUGUGCAAAGCGUCUUUCCUUUCGCCUGGUUAACGGUCGCUCUCGCUUCUGGCGUCUCAUAUUAUCCAUUUACGCUUAUAUUGACGCGUAUUGUUUUUCAAUUGUUAUACGGGCCCUGCCUUCUGAGAACACGUGCAUGGUUCCGUGUGCAAAGCGUCUUUCCUUUCGCCUGGUUAACGGUCACUCUCGCUUCUGACGUCUCAUAUUAUCCAUUUACGCUUAUAUUGACGCUUAUUGUUUUUCAAUUGUUAUACGGGCCCUGCCUUCUGAGAACACGUGCAUGGGUCCGUGUGCAAAGCGUCUUUCCUUUCGCCUGGUUAACGGUCGCUCUCGCUUCUGGCGUCUCAUAUUAUCCAUUUACGCUUAUAUUGACGCUUAUUGUUUUUCAAUUGUUAUACGGGCCCUGCCUUCUGAGAACACGUGCAUGGGUCCGUGUGCAAAGCGUCUUUCCUUUCGCCUGGUUAACGGUCGCUCUCGCUUCUGGCGUCUCAUAUUAUCCAUUUACGCUUAUAUUGACGCUUAUUGUUUUUCAAUUGUUAUACGGGCCCUGCCUUCUGAGAACACGUGCAUGGGUCCGUGUGCAAAGCGUCUUUCCUUUCGCCUGGUUAACGGUCGCUCUCGCUUCUGGCGUCUCAUAUUAUCCAUUUACGCUUAUAUUGACGCGUAUUGUUUUUCAAUUGUUAUACGGGCCCUGCCUUCUGAGAACACGUGCAUGGUUCCAUGUGCAAAGCGUCUUUUCCUUCGCUUCGUUAACGGUCGCUCUGGCUUCUGGCGUCUCACGGUCUCACGUCAUGCACGGUCUAGCAAAUGUAAGUUGUCACAUUUUGCGCUGGGUGUCUGUAGUUUUUUUUUAGUUUCAUAUUUCAUCUGUGUCAAACUUAUCACAGGAAGAGAUGGCAUCGAACGAGACAACGUCGCACGAUAUGGGGGUAAGGCACUCGGACGACGCUGCUUGAACAGUGGUGAUUCUCCACGCUAUCUCCGCGCUACAAAUUCGUAUGCGUACGCCCAUUGUCCAUCAGGUGCAUGGAGGAAGGAAAGCUUUCCUUUCUCCAUGAUCAGCAUCCCAAGGAACAGGACACGACACGCUCUUCGUAGCCAUGCUGGACUGCAUAAUACCACGCAUGCACCCUCAGCUGCAUUAGGUGGUGCUCCUACAAUUUCUACUGUGCGACACAUUCUGAGAAGAAGUACACGAGACUCUACUCCCUCACGCAUGUACAGCCAGUACAACUCACCCGUAAAGAUGACUUGUACGCAUUCAGCAGCUGCUGAACGGGGCUUCGCCAAACAGGAGAUGACGCAGUUUUGUGGAGAACAACGCGGCGAUACAAGAGGCUCGCUCUUCCUUCUCAUGGGUGUACGGAAGAUACAGCUCAGGGGAAAUGAUGCUCGAAGCACCCUUCAGAGCGUAACACAGCAGUUUGCUCAUGUCAUCAAUGCAUACCUGCAGCACAUGUCCCACUUGCUGGGCCAUGCUAACUAAUAAGUUAGUUGUUCAAACGAAAAAAAAAAAGAAGAAAUAAACGGAGCAGGCUGGGCA
Ornithodoros turicata is the source of this 2996-nucleotide long non-coding RNA. RefSeq lists it as uncharacterized. Lineage: Eukaryota; Metazoa; Arthropoda; Arachnida; Ixodida; Argasidae. The record is from RefSeq and is a predicted model, not a curated record. The transcript is spliced from 3 exons.